AUUGAACGCUGGCGGCAUGCCUUACACAUGCAAGUCGAACGGCAGCACGGGAGCAAUCCUGGUGGCGAGUGGCGAACGGGUGAGUAAUACAUCGGAACGUGCCCAGUAGUGGGGGAUAACCCGGCGAAAGCCGGACUAAUACCGCAUACGACCUACGGGUGAAAGCAGGGGAUCGCAAGACCUUGCGCUAUCGGAGCGGCCGAUGUCAGAUUAGCUUGNGGCGGGGUAAAAGCCCACCAAGGCGACGAUCUGUAGCUGGUCUGAGAGGACGACCAGCCACACUGGGACUGAGACACGGCCCAGACUCCUACGGGAGGCAGCAGUGGGGAAUUUUGGACAAUGGGCGCAAGCCUGAUCCAGCCAUGCCGCGUGCGGGAAGAAGGCCUCGGUUGUAA
Molecule: ribosomal RNA, 395 nt
Filed under: uncultured bacterium
Lineage: Bacteria
Description: bacterial SSU rRNA
Rfam family: Bacterial small subunit ribosomal RNA
Source: RNAcentral